This 253-nucleotide ribosomal RNA is filed under the name uncultured bacterium. Its description in RNAcentral is "partial 16S ribosomal RNA". It matches the Rfam family "Bacterial small subunit ribosomal RNA", at positions 524 to 776 of the family's 1533-position model. The record is from RNAcentral.
UACGUAGGGUGCGAGCGUUAAUCGGAAUUACUGGGCGUAAAGCGUGCGCAGGCGGCUUCGCAAGUCAGACGUGAAAUCCCCGGGCUUAACCUGGGAAUGGCGUUUGAAACUACGGAGCUGGAGUAUGGCAGAGGGGGGUGGAAUUCCACGUGUAGCGGUGAAAUGCGUAGAUAUCUGGAGGAACACCGGUGGCGAAGGCGGCAUCCUGGACCAAUAUUGACGCUGAGGAGCGAAAGCCAGGGGAGCAAACGGG